RNAcentral lists this ribosomal RNA (406 nucleotides) under uncultured bacterium. Its description in RNAcentral is "partial 16S ribosomal RNA". It matches the Rfam family "Bacterial small subunit ribosomal RNA", at positions 355 to 774 of the family's 1533-position model. The record is from RNAcentral.
UGAGGAAUUUUGGACAAUGGGCGAAAGCCUGAUCCAGCUCUAUCGCGUGGGUGAUGAAGACUGUCUUGGUUGUAAAACCCUUUACUUUUUUGGAGAUUAUGACAAACAAGGAGAAAAAAGUCCCGGCCAAUUUCGUGCCAGCAGCCGCGGUAAUACGAGAGGGGCAAGCGUUAUUCGGAAUGAUUGGGCGUAAAGUGCACGUAGGCUGUUUAGAAAAUCAGAAAUAAAAAACUCAAAGCUUGACUUUGAGAGUUGUUUUUAUGAUUCCUAAACUUGAGUAAGUAAGAGGAGAAUGGAAUUCCUGGCGUAGAGGUAAAAUUUGUUGAUAUCAGGAGGAACACCAAAAGCGAAGGCAUUUCUCUGGGGCUUUACUGACGUUGAGGUGCGACAGCGUGGGGAUCAAAAG